RNAcentral lists this ribosomal RNA (463 nucleotides) under uncultured bacterium. Its description in RNAcentral is "partial 16S ribosomal RNA". It matches the Rfam family "Bacterial small subunit ribosomal RNA", at positions 28 to 523 of the family's 1533-position model. The record is from RNAcentral.
GAUGAAUGCUGGCGGCGUGCCUAACACAUGCAAGUCGAGCGGCAGCGCGGUCUUCGGACCGGCGGCGAGCGGCGGACGGCUGAGUAACGCGUGGGAACAUACCCCAAAGUGAGGGAUAACCGCCCGAAAGGGUGGCUAAUACCGCAUAUGGUCUUCGGAUUAAAGGAUUUAUCCGCUUUGGGAAUGGCCUGCGUACGAUUAGACAGUUGGUGGGGUAAAGGCCUACCAAGUCUACGAUCGUUAACUGGUCUGAGAGGAUGAUCAGUCAGACUGGAACUGAGACACGGUCCAGACUCCUACGGGAGGCAGCAGUGAGGAAUCUUCCACAAUGGGCGAAAGCCUGAUGGAGCAACGCCGCGUGCAGGAUGAAGGCCUUCGGGUCGUAAACUGCUUUUAUGAGUGAAGAAUAUGACGGUAACUCAUGAAUAAGCACCGGCUAACUACGUGCCAGCCGCCGCCGUAA